AGUCACCUGCUCCUCAGAUCAGAAGGUGAUUGUGGCUUUGAGUAGAUAUUAAGCAGCCACAGCACUGCCUGGUCAGAAAGAGCAAGUGUACU
Molecule: microRNA precursor, 92 nt
Filed under: Crocodylus porosus (Australian saltwater crocodile)
Lineage: Eukaryota; Metazoa; Chordata; Crocodylia; Crocodylidae
Description: miRNA (ENSCPRG00005010661.1)
Rfam family: mir-383 microRNA precursor family (bases 10-82)
Source: RNAcentral